GGAAGUCUCUCCAUGACCCACUGCCCCUGAGCCAGGCUGGGACACCACUGGGCCUGCAGGAUGCAGCUCAGAUGAGGCCUCCAGGUGUCUGCCUAGGCUUCUGCUGGUGCCAAGGUCAUGAGCUGCCCACACUCCAGCUUGCUUUUCCCCUGGAGACAGAGACAGUGAGGCUGAGGUCUGCAUCAGCACAAUAUCUCACAUGGUCCCUAAAAUUGGAGAUAAGACUUUCCCAGCCUUCCUGCUCAGGGGACCCUUGUUUUGUCUUUUAACCUUCUCUCUAAUAUUUGUCAAAUGACUCACAAAAUGGAAAAACCCACCACCUCUACUUGGGUUCUGCUGCACUAGAAUUCUUUCAGCUUUCUCUUCUAGGGUCUCUGGAAAAAAACUAGAAGCACAUUACCUGUUGGGACCUUUUACCUUUCUUUGGGACCGUGGCCGUUAUUGGGUGUUGGCUGAGGUGGCCUCAUGGGUUCUUCCAGAGCAUUUCCGUAUUCGUGACCUGGCUGGAUUGGUGUUUGUGGGCUUUUAGCCCACGCGCAGGCUUUUGACUUUAGCCCUGCCUAAUGAUUUAAUUUGAAAUCUGCCUAGGCCCUUUAGUGAUAAUGACUUAACU
RNAcentral lists this long non-coding RNA (613 nucleotides) under Marmota monax (woodchuck). Lineage: Eukaryota; Metazoa; Chordata; Mammalia; Rodentia; Sciuridae. The record is from RNAcentral.